Molecule: unclassified non-coding RNA, 1054 nt
Filed under: Hevea brasiliensis (rubber tree)
Lineage: Eukaryota; Viridiplantae; Streptophyta; Magnoliopsida; Malpighiales; Euphorbiaceae
Source: RNAcentral
AUCCAGUGUUUUUGAACUCAGCAUCUAUGGGAAAGGAACGAAAUUUUCAUGAGCAGAAGUACACAUACUACAAACUGCAGGCCAUCAAUGCAGGCACAAAGACAGAGAUAGAGAAUGCAAGACUAGGUGAUGCAUAAGAACCUAAAAAAAAGCUUGUCAAAUUUAACCAAUGAAAAUCUUAUAGAUUGAAACUGCUACCUUCAAGAAUUAAAGCAAAAAACAAGAAAAUUCAAAGACAGCCAAAAUCAAACCCACCUAGGAAUUUGCAAAUGUAGAGAACAUAAAAGAAAAAAUAUGUACAGAUGUUUUUGAACGAUCAUAGACAUUUGAACCAAAAUGAACAUAUAGCUCCAUGAAUUUUCUUUUUAAAAUUGCCAUAUUGGACAGAACUAAAUGAAGGAAAAAAAUAACACCACGAUGAAACCAAGUCUUUGCACCCAUAAUGCACAUGGAACAUGAAGGAAAUUGUGGCAGGGUCCACCCAGGAUAGGCUAAAACCAGGCCCAUGAUCCUUCAUGGCCUCCUUUGUAGAGGCUACAUGCUGCUGGAACAUGGGGAGAAAACUGCUCCCCUCACCUCUACCUAGACCAGGCCACGGGCCAAACCGGGCCAAACAGCCAAGGGCCACUAAGCAGCAGUUUCUAAACUGGAACCGGCCAUUGGCCAGGUCUACCUCUACUCAUGAAUCCACUAAAUGGCUCCAUGUUGGAGCUAUGAACUUGCAUGUGUGCUGGUUAUAAAAGGAAUGUUGGUGUGCGCAAGCGAGGAGUGCAUGCAGUUACAUGAGGGAGUUGAGGCCAUUAGUGAUUAUAACUUAUAUAUGCAGUAUAUGGCUUAAGUGCAAAGGAAAAAAAGUGAGAGCAUUGUGUGCAAUUGCCAGCGCAGGUGUUCAUGAGAGAGUAGCGAGCAAUUCUCUGGGUAAGUUUCCUUGGUCAUGAGCAAGUUUGCCAAGGCAGAAAACUGGUUGCAAGUGAAAGCAUUUUGGCGCUUCAAAGGCGGGUGUUCAAGUUGGUGCACAAAUUCUCUCAUCCUCCCUUCAAACCUUGGAGUGAAA